Molecule: ribosomal RNA, 598 nt
Filed under: Pseudomonas aeruginosa
Lineage: Bacteria; Pseudomonadati; Pseudomonadota; Gammaproteobacteria; Pseudomonadales; Pseudomonadaceae
Also listed under: 1 other name
Description: partial 16S ribosomal RNA
Rfam family: Bacterial small subunit ribosomal RNA
Source: RNAcentral
GCGGAUGAAGGGAGCUUGCUCCUGGAUUCAGCGGCGGACGGGUGAGUAAUGCCUAGGAAUCUGCCUGGUAGUGGGGGAUAACGUCCGGAAACGGGCGCUAAUACCGCAUACGUCCUGAGGGAGAAAGUGGGGGAUCUUCGGACCUCACGCUAUCACAUGAGCCUAGGUCGGAUUAGCUAGUUGGUGGGGUAAAGGCCUACCAAGGCGACGAUCCGUAACUGGUCUGAGAGGAUGAUCAGUCACACUGGAACUGAGACACGGUCCAGACUCCUACGGGAGGCAGCAGUGGGGAAUAUUGGACAAUGGGCGAAAGCCUGAUCCAGCCAUGCCGCGUGUGUGAAGAAGGUCUUCGGAUUGUAAAGCACUUUAAGUUGGGAGGAAGGGCAGUAAGUUAAUACCUUGCUGUUUUGACGUUACCAACAGAAUAAGCACCGGCUAACUUCGUGCCAGCAGCCGCGGUAAUACGAAGGGUGCAAGCGUUAAUCGGAAUUACUGGGCGUAAAGCGCGCGUAGGUGGUUCAGCAAGUUGGAUGUGAAAUCCCCGGGCUCAACCUGGGAACUGCAUCCAAAACUACUGAGCUAGAGUACGGUAGAGGGU